CGCGUAGGCGGUUUUGUAAGUCGAAUGUGAAAGCCCCGGGCUUAACCUGGGAAUUGCGUUCGAUACUGCGAAACUAGAGUACGGUAGGGGGAAGUGGAAUUCCGGGUGUAGCGGUGAAAUGCGUAGAUAUCCGGAGGAACACCAGUGGCGAAGGCGACUUCCUGGGCCAGUACUGACGCUGAGGUGCGAAAGCGUGGGGAGCAAACA
This 207-nucleotide ribosomal RNA is filed under the name uncultured bacterium. RNAcentral describes it as "partial 16S ribosomal RNA". It matches the Rfam family "Bacterial small subunit ribosomal RNA", at positions 568 to 774 of the family's 1533-position model. The record is from RNAcentral.